Molecule: transfer RNA, 73 nt
Filed under: Malawimonas jakobiformis
Lineage: Eukaryota; Malawimonada; Malawimonadea; Malawimonadida; Malawimonadidae
Description: tRNA-Ala
Rfam family: tRNA
About the family: Transfer RNA (tRNA) molecules are approximately 80 nucleotides in length. Their secondary structure includes four short double-helical elements and three loops (D, anti-codon, and T loops).
Source: RNAcentral
GGGGAUGUAGUUUUAAUUGGUAAAACGUCUGCUUUGCACGCAGAAUUUGGGAGUUCGAACCUCCUCUUCUCCA